This 89-nucleotide ribosomal RNA is filed under the name Staphylococcus warneri. Lineage: Bacteria; Bacillati; Bacillota; Bacilli; Caryophanales; Staphylococcaceae. The record is from RNAcentral.
ACCUGUUCCCAUGCCGAACACAGAAGUUAAGCUCCUUAGCGCCGAUGGUAGUCGGACUAACGUUCCGCUAGAGUAGGACGUUGCCAGGC